This 23449-nucleotide long non-coding RNA is filed under the name Populus tremula. RNAcentral describes it as "long non-coding RNA (PTRE_LNC003239)". The record is from RNAcentral. Lineage: Eukaryota; Viridiplantae; Streptophyta; Magnoliopsida; Malpighiales; Salicaceae.
AUGUAAUCAUCUGUUGUCUCCUUGCCCUUCUGGCACAUUUGAAAUUUGAAAUAAAUACCUAUAUAUGAAUCUUCACCUAAAGAAACUAAACUACUUCAAUCAAGUUCUCUAUGUACUAUCCUAAUCCUAAAUUAACUGCAUGUCUAACUUCACAUGAAAACAACAAUUCGAUACUCUUAUCUUUUCUUGUGCUAAAAUAAUCCACCACAGCAUCCUUGUAGAAAACCUAACACCUUUCUUUCUCUAUAUUUUAUCUCUAACUGCCAACCAUUCUUUUCCAUGAAGUAUACCUCUCCCUUUAACAUAAAAAACAGGGUUACUCAGUUAGGAGUAUAACAGGGUUACUCACAGUUUUCUCUAGGCCUUUGAGGACUAGUAGGUCACAUUGUAUAACACCAUAUUUUUUCGCGCACUUCCUGUUUAAGAAAAGGCCAUUGUGCAUCAGUUAGGAGCAAUUACAAGGAAGAAAAGAUAAAUUGAGCACAUCGAGUCAAUUAAAGAAUGACUCCAUACUUAUUUUCAUAUGACACAGUUCUGAAUGUAUGUACAAAUGCAGGUCGAGGUUCAGAUGGACUAUCAGCUAACUGAUCACAGGCAGGCUGUAUAUAAGCUGUUUGUAACAACAAUUCAAUUAGACGGCUUCCAACCUGCGCGCAAAGUGUAAGGACAGAAAUCAAAUUCGGACACGAUACAUUUGUUCAAGAAAAUUAGCCUUUAUCAAUGAUUACAAGCACACAGCCCUAGCAUCUGCAUUCCAUGGUUUUGAAGCAUCCUUCCCCUUCACAAUCUUCCUCACAGCUGGCAGCUUUUGUUUUUUUAAUCAAAUCAGUAACCUUUUUUCUUAGGUCUUCUUGUUCCUUCAUGACAGCAGGGGAUUCUCCUUCUACACCAUUCUUGCUAUCAUUAGCCUUUUCCUUUUUCUUUCUUGUUUUCUCCUAGAUAUUGUGUAUUCUAAUCUUUUUCAUCACAGAAACUGUUACAAAUUCAGUCCUCAGUUCAAAGAAAGAGAACAAGACUGAAGAGUUAGGAGGUCCAAAAAAUGGAUUAAGAAUGGUACACCUAAAUAUCUCUUCAUUGUAUAGUUCUUUUUUUUUUUUAAAGAAAAAAAGGAAAAGAAAAGAGGAAGCAACUCCCAUAGUCAGAAGCGACAGUAGAGGAAAGUGUCACGCGUGCCUUUGAAGUCUAAACUAAGUAAAAAACUUAAACAAAGGCAGAAACAAGAACACACAUAAUUGAAAUGAUAAAGAUAAUUGCUAUCCCCAACAGGGAAAUGCAAAAGUAUAAAUCCAUAGUGAAACAAUGUCCAAACAUGAGAUGAGCUCUGACAAAGGAAAGUUGAAAUGUCACUCUUAUAGGUCCACCACCAUGUCCAUGCUUUAAAGAAAUUGUAGCUCAAAAGAGAAAGGCGUAAUAGAAUAUUCACCUUAAUAAGGCCCGUGAUAUGAAAAGUUUGAUACAUAAUGACAAAAUUGUAAAAACUUAGUAUCUAAAGGAUCUUACACUAAAUUGUUUUUCCUACCUGCAUAUUUAGUGUCCUCCCUGGAACUAUGAACAACAGAAGAACUUGGACUGAAAGUAAAAACUAAUAAUAUAUAAAAAAGAAAUCCAGAAAAACCCCAUUCAACAUUCGACAAAGCUCCUUAUAUUCUUUCGUUGCCAGUUCCUAUGCUUCCGCCUCAAUCUUCACUUGCCUUCUCCUUAAGACCCUAUGCUUCCUUGACCCUAUUCCAGGUUUAGCAUGUAGCCUCCUCCUCCUAAAGUGCUCUUCUUCUUUCCUCAUUUCUGGCUGUAAUUCUCGCACUUCAUCGGCACCAGACACAUUAUCUUCAACAUCUAUUGAUGACACUGCCUCAGCUACACUCACAUACCCUCUUGGGAAAAAUCCAGCACACCGAUUCCCAUUGGUACUAUCACUAUUUCUCAAAAAAAUAAAACUGGGUUUUCCCAUAAAAUCUUCAUGGGUUGAUAUUUCGCCAAUUGCUCGAAAACUCAGUCGUGGACUUGUGUUAUUAAGCGAAUGGAACUUAAGUUUCUCAAAAAAGAUGGGUUCUUUAGAGGCUCCUUGUCAAUGAGCUGUAUAUUCGUAAUUAGUAUGAGCUAUAUAUAUUCCUAAUUAGUGAGAAUCUAUUAUGUGAUUCUGCAAGAUUAUAGGCUGCAAGAUUAUAGGCUCAUAAAAUAUUCCUAAAUAGUUUCCCAGUCUAUGUAUAUAUAUUCACGUCUGCUGUUAUACAAAAAAUGAAUAAGAGAAUAUUACAAUCACCAAUUCUGAUAUGGUAUCAGAGCAGUCGAUCUUGACUGUCUCUUGCCCUAGUUCCAAAAAUCGCUUCCGCCAUAGCAGCUGUUAGCACCCUUCACAAUAGCAGUGAUUUCGUAGCAGCAACCAUUACUCACCCUUUACAACCACUGUUCAUUGUUCCCUCAACCAAAUUACACUAAACAAAUUACUCUGUUUGUUCUCUCUACUUCUUCCUCUUAUCACUUCUAAGCCAAAAUCAUGGCAGAUGAUGAUGGUUCAGUAAACACCAAUAAAUCCUUCAUGUCAGGAGACUCCAACACUACCACACAAAUAAUCACGUUGCAGAGUGACACAUCUAAUUUCUCUUCAGGAAUCAAACUGGAUGAGAAUAACUAUUCUCUAUGGCAUCAAAUCAUAGAGAUGAAGAUAGCUGGGCGAGAAAAACAUGGUCAUCUGACUGGUGAUAUCACCCAACCUGCAGUUACAAAUCCCACAUUUAAUAAAUGGCGUGCAGCAGAUUGCCAGGUCAAGAGUUGGUUAUUUGACGCCAUGCAACCGAAUCAGAUUAAAAGGUUUAUUCGUUAUGACACAACAAAACAAGUCUGGGAUGCAAUCAAACAGACAUAUUCAGAUGGGGCUGAUGAAGCUAUGAUUUACGACCUUCACAGAAGAUCAUUCAUAAUGAGACAGACGUGUGUUUCAGACUUUCAGUUGCCAAAUAUUACAGUGAGCUCACUGAGAUUUUUCAGGAGCUUGAUCAAUUAAGUCCAAGCACCAUGGAGCAUCCGUCAGACAUUGAAACUCGACGAAAAGAAGUUGAUCAUCUUAGAGUUUAUAUAUUUCUUGCAGGUUUGGACAAUAAUUUUGAUCAAUUCCGAGGAGAGAUUUUGAGGAUGGAGCCAAAGCUAGAACUUGAGGCUGCAUACGCACAUAUUAAACGAGAAAGUAACCAACAAGAAACCAUGUCUGAAGGAGGUGUAACCUCCGAAGCCACAGCUCUUGCCGUUGCCAGGUCUAGACAAUCUCGACUGCACAACUACAAUGCCAACCUUGCUCGUAACAAACCUCCAAUGAAAUGUACCAAAUGUGGUUUAGAUAAUCACACAAUUAAAGGCUGUUAUGAGAUUAUUGGUUAUCCAGAUGGAUGGGUUCACAAAGGGUGCAAAAGGGACUCCAAUUGAGCCUCAUUUGCAUCUGCCCAGUCAUUACAGGAGACUUCAUCAAAAAUCCCAUUAGGUACAACUGACUCCAAGGCCUUUGUUGCUGCAUGUAAUUCUUACACAUCCUCACUUACUGGUAAUAGAUCUUGGAUUAUUGACACUGGUGCAACGGAUCACAUGACAUCUAGUCUUAUUGGGGUACACUUUGUCACACCUUCCAGCCAAACACAUAUUUUCAGUGCCAAUGGCACCACUUACCGAGUUAUAGGAGAAGGGUCUUUAUCUCUUACAUCCUCAUUAAGUCUUGAUCAUGUCUUAGUUGUCCCUUCACUUGACUAUGACUUGCUAUCUGUUCCUCAAAUCAUUGACUCCCUUAAUUGUACUGUGUGUUUUUGGUCAUUGUAUUGUCUAUUUCAGGAUCUUCACACCAGGGUCGUGAUUGGAUAUGGUACUAGGAGAGGAAAACUAUAUUAUCUGGACUUGACAGAUGACACAGUUAAAAGAUUAAGUCAUACACAUAAUAUGAGAGGAGGUGAGUCUAUCAGGAUGAAGAAAAUUUGGCUCUGGCAUAGACGAUUAGGUCAUGCCUCCUUUGGUUAUUUGAAACUUCUAUUUCUAGAGUUGUUUUCUCAUUUUACUAAAUCAGACUUCCAUUGUGAAACUUGCAUUUUGACAAAAAAUCAUCGUAUUUCUUAUCCAUUAAGGUUGAAUAAAACUUCUAUGCCUUUCAUGAUUGUCCAUUCUGAUAUUUGGGGACCAUCACGUGUUUCCACAAUUAAGGGUUAUAAGUGGUUUAUGACAUUCAUUGAUGAUUGCACCCGGAUGACCUGGGUUUUUUCUUUAAGACAGAAAAGUGAAGUAACUGUCAAAUUUAAACUAUUUUAUCAAUAUGUUGUUACUCAAUUCAACAAGAAAAUCAUGACGCUUCGAUCUGACAAUGGACGAGAGUACGUCAACCAUGAUCUGCAUAAUUUUUUAAUUCAACAUGGUAUUGUUGAUCACACCACAUGUGCAUAUACACCACAAAAGAAUGGGGUCGCUGAGCGUAAGAAUCGACAUCUCCUGGAAGUUGUUCGUGCCUCUUUAUUUGAAGCUCAUUUACCUCAUUAUUUUUGGGGGGAGGCUCUUUGUUCUGCUGCUUACCUCAUUAAUAGAACUCCAUCCAGCACUCUUUAGUAUAAAACUCCAUUUCAAGAAUUGACCACUCGCCUCACCAUGCCGUCUACACCAAAUCUUGAACCACGUAUCUUUGGAUGUGUUGCUUAUGUUCAGGUAUAUCCACACCAACGGGGAAAGCUUGAUCCAUGUGCUCUGUGUUGUGUCUUCAUGGGUUAUGCUGAUACUCAAAAGGUCUAUAAAUGUUUUCAUCCUCCCACUCAGACCAUGUACAUUACUGUCGAUGUGACUUUUCACGAGAGUGAAUUCUAUUACUUAGGGGGCGUCUCUCAGCAUCCUCUGCAGGGGGAGAGCUCUAUCUUUGCAGAAGAUACUCAGAUCCAAAUUCAACAAAAUAUUUUAGAGCAGUCAGUGUCUGAACAACUAGUUACAAUGGUACAACAAGAUCAAGAGGGGCAACAAGAUCAAGAGUCACUCAGAACUCCAGAUACUGGUACUGGUUUAAAUAAUCUUCCCUCAACAACUCCUACUACAGUACCAUCACCACUCAUCCAAUCAGGUCCUGAAGAUUUCCCACAGGUAAUUGAACAUUCAAACUGCAACUCAAUCACUUUACCCAAGUCAAGUAAUAUAGGAAACACAAGUUAUCAACUACCUCCUCGUACAACUUGUCGCACCCCACAAAAUCCGGCGCGUCAUCGGCUGGCGAUUUUUCUCAUUUGUUGCGUUUGCUUUGAAUUCGUUCGUUGGAGUCGCCACCUAGUAAUUCAUUGAGGGCUACUAGGAAACCUGAUGUACUGGUCUUGUCAGAGAUCGCGGGUAAGGGACUGGUUAUGGUUAGGGAAGGUAUUAAUACCCCUAACGCACCCUACCUGAGGUAAGCUGCUUUGUGUUCUGAUGUGAUUUGAAAAUUUAAAAUAUUAAUUAAAUUCUAACGACUUUUUAUGAAACAAACGAGGUCUUAACAUAAAAGUAACACAUUAAAGAUGUCGCCUUUCCUAAUGAUUUUAUCUAAUAGAUUGUCGGGAUUUAGAGCACUUGUUUGUUUUUAAAAUUUUAAAAAAUUGAAUUUUUUAUUUAUUAAUUUUACUUCAAAUUAAGUUUUUUUAUAUCGUUUUGAUAUACUGUAUUAAAAAUAAAUUUUAAAAGAUAAAAAAAUUUAUUUUAAAUAAAAAUAUUUUAAAAAAUAACUAUAUAUUACCACAAUAAUAAACACCUCUUAAAAUAGAGAAUUGAGAGAAUUGUUUAGAAUGGUUGGAAUGCAUGCAUACAGCUUGGUCCCAUUUAAGAUAAAUUUUCAUGUAUUUUGAAUGUAAAAUGCCUGCUGUUGGGAGAAAAUGGUUUUAAAACGUGGUCGUUAAUAAGUGUAAUUGGAUUUUAAUCAAAUAUUAAAUUAAUAAAUUAAGAUUUUGUUGAAAAAUAUUUUUUAGUAUGAAUAUUAUAACAUGAAAUAUUAAAAUACUUAAAAUUAAUUUCAAAGAAUUCUAAAUGAAAUUGAUUUUAAAAAAAAAGAAAAAUAUAGUUUUUAUUAAUAUAUAUAGUUUUUAAUUUAAAUAUAUCAUACACCAAAAAACAGAGUUAAAAAAGUGGACAGACUAGCUAUUUCAAAAUACAGGUUGAAAUUUUGCAGAGCACAGGCUUUCAUCCGCAAACAUGGGAUUAUCCUAAAUUUAAGAAGAAUAUGUUAUAUACAAAUUAAACAUUUUAUUAAUACUCACAAUAUAUAAGGUCAAGUACUGAUCCCACAACAAAAUUAAAUCUGUUUGCAAAAUAAAAAAAUAGACAACAUUUAAUCAUUGAAAACAUGUUAUAAAUUAAAUAUUUUAUUUAGAUUAGAAAUACUAACAUUAGAAAAAAUAACAAAAAAUAGUAGAAGCGAAAAAUAAUAUAACCUUAAAAUACUGAUUUAAUAAUAAUCUUUCACUAGUUAAUUAAGCAUAAUCACAUUAAAUAAUAAUCAUCAUCAUUUUUAUUCACUACUUAAAAUACUACAUUUAAUAAUAAUCUUUCAAGUUUUUUAGUACUAAUAUAAAUAAUAUUACCCCAAAAUCCAUUUUUUUCCUUCAUUUACAUUAAUAAGAUUUUUAGUAUUAAUUAAGAGUUCUGGAUAUCAACUGCUACUGCUCUCCCCUUGUAUUUACUCGUCACCUUUCUAUUCUUCUAACACUAUUCUCCUCCUUCAUCCAUUCUCCCCCUCGUCUUCUUCCUCGUUGUACAUCAAUAGAACAACUGACGAGUUUCUCAUUUCUGUUUUCAUUAUAUUUAUAGAAUUAGUAGCUGGAAAAACCUCUUGGAAUCUACGGUCGCAGAAACACCGAGACGCCAAAAUAAAAAUAUACCGAUAACCAAUAUUGCAAAAUGUGAAUCAAAUUACCCCAAACCAAAACCAUGAGCAAAAACUGAUGAAGAUCUUCAAGCUAAAGCAAGUUAGAUUCCAAACCAAAACCAAGGCAGCUGCUGGUGCUGGUGCUGCUGCCGCUGCUCGAGCAACAGCUGCUCGAGCAACAGCUGCUGCUGCUGCUCGAGCAACAGCUGCUGCUCCUGCCACUGCUCGAGCAACAGCUGCUGCUCGUGCUGCUGCUGCCGGUGCAGCGGCUCCAGCUGCUGCCACUGCAGCCGCUGCUGCACGUGCAGCUGCCGCUGCCGCUCGUGCAGCUGCCGCUGCCGCUCGAGCAGCUGCCGCUGCCGCUCUAGCAGCUGCCGCCGCUCGAGCAGCUGCUGCCGCUGCUCCAGCAGCUGCGGCCGCCGCUCAAGCAGCUGCCGCCGCCGCUCCAGCUGCUGCCGCCGCCGCUCCAGCUGCUGCCGCCGCCGCUCCAGCAGCUCCCGCUGCCGCUCCAGCAGCUCCUUCAGCAGCUCCAGCAGCUCGAGAUGCUCCUCACGCUGCUGCUCAGACAAGUGCUCGCGCUUCUGGAGCCAUCCCUGCCACUGCUUGACCAGUUGGAGAUGCUGGAUCCGCUGCAGCUCGAGAUGCUCCUCACGCUGCUGCUCAGACAAGUGCUCGCGCUUCUGGAGCCUUCUCCGCCACUGCGUGACCAGUUGGAGAUGGGGCUGGAUCCGCUGCUGCUGCGUUGCUGGAGCUCCUUUGCCGCUGAAAGUCAUGAGAAGGAGAGGUCAGAAGUGUUAUGUGUGUGUAUAUAUAGCUUGGCACAAUGGGAAUUUUCUCAAACUUUAAUUAUUAAUGCAUAUUGUAGGAUCGAACCACAUUAAAUUGUUACUGAAUAAAAAAAAAUUAUAUCAUUCGGUUAGGUAAAAUUAUCAUAUAAAAAAAUAGAUUAGAUAAAAAAGGACUUGAAAACUAAACAUUCAUUUUCCCAUCCCCACCGCAUAGUCAAACUAUACAUGGAAUCGAUGUUACUAGAUAAUUUUAACAAAAUUCGUCGCAGGUUAAAAAAAAUCUUAACAAAAAAUUUAUAAAUAUAAUUUUUCAAUAUGUUUUUGUAUUUAAUUUUUUUGAGUGAAAAUAAAAAAAAUAUUAUGCAUAAAUAUAAUUAAAUAAAUCAAGAACUACGUGUCUUAAUAAAUAAAUAAAACAUUUAUAAAAGAUAACUAAAAAUAAAAUAUGAAAAAUCAAGAAAUAGUUGUAGAUUAAGAUAUUUAAUUUCAUAAGAUGAGAAAUUUAUGCAAUUAUAUUUACUAAAUUUAUUAAUUAAAACAAGUUUUUUAUUUAAUCAAAGGAUAAUAAAAAUAGACACAUAUUAAAUUGAUUGAAUAAAGUAAAUAAAAAAUAAUAAUAUUCAAGGCUUCACAUAUUAUAAAUAUUAUUUGAAAUUAAAAUCUUUUUAUUUUAAAAAAUAAAGUUCUUCUACACAAAAGAUUUAAAAAAAUAAUAAUAUUCAAGGCUUCACAUAUUAUAAAUAUUAUUUGAAAUUAAAAUCUUUUUAUUUUAAAAAAUAAAGUUCUUCUACACAAAAGAUUUAAAAAAAUUAUAGAUAAACCAUAAAAACCUCCUAAAACAUUAAAUGCAUAACUAAAAAAUAACCGUAAUUUUAAAAAGGAUCUCUAAACAACAUAAAAAGAUGAGAAGAGAUGUUAAUCUAAAUAUAAAUAAAAAAAUAUUUACAAAAAUAUAAAAGAAGCAUUAAUUUAAUAAAAUUAAAAAGAAGAAAAAAUAAAAGUUAAGUGUUGUUAGGUCUACUAAAUCAGACUAGCCCGAGUGGUCAAUUUUGUCUGGGCCUAUGUCUGCUGGCAAUUUUUUUUUUUGCAAAUUGUUUGUGAAAAAAAAUAAGAUGUCGCUUUUCUAUGGACCAAAUAUUUUUUUCUCUUACAAAAUAGUUGUGCAUUUUGUACACAAAAAAUUAAAAGUAUAAAUUAAAAAGUCCAUACAUACAUGUAAUCAAAUAAAUUGACAACUAUGUGAAUAAAUAAUAAUAAUAAAUAUAUUAAAAAUAACUAAAAAUAAAAUUAGAAAAUUUGAAUGUGUUAAUAAAUAAAACAUUUACCCGCUUAUAUUUUUUAAAUUUGUUUAUUAAAAUUAAUAUUUUUAUUCAAUCAAAUGAUAUUAAAAAUAAAUACACAUAUUAAAUUGAUUAAAUAAAAUAAAAAUAGAAAAACAAAUAUUAUGCAAGGUUGUUGUACAUGUUAAUGUUAUUUGAAAAUUCAUAUUUUUUAUUUUUUAAAAUUAAGUUCUUUUAUACAAAAAAAUAAAAAAAAUUAUUAAUGAAUCAUAAUAAGGUUUUCAGAAAUCAAAUACGAACAAUACUAUAAAAAUAAUAUCUAUAAAAAAAAAUCAUAAUGAAGGAUAUUAAUUGAAACAUAAAUUUAAAAAAUAUAUAAAAAAAGAUACAUAAAAAAUAUCAGUAAAAAAACAAUAUGAGAAAAAACAUUGUAUGGUUGUUGUUGCUUAAUUCGUUAAACCCAUGGCUGGAGCAUGAACUCAACUGAGUUCAAUAUGUUUUUUCCCAUAAAUUUAUAUCAACAUUUAAGCAAAAAAAUUAAACAUAAGACCUGAAAUAUGAAUUCAAUCAAAUUUAAUAAUGACUUGUCCAAGACUCCAGUACUAGUGCAUGCAUUCUAUUUUGGUUACAAGUUUUUGGAUAUAAAUUGUUAUUUGAUGGUGUUGUGCAUAUGUUUUUUUAGAAGGUUGAAUAUAUGCAAUUAUUUUGUUUGUUUAACUUUAUUAACACAUCCAAAUUGAAAAAAAAAAGUUACUGAAUAAAAAAAAACUACUUUAAAAAUAUUUUGUUUUAAAUUCAAAAUCUAUCUUAAAAGAAAAAAAAACUCUAACCACACUGUGAACUUGCACGGUAUUUUCCCACGCCAUAUAGAAAGAUCAUAGAUUUGUUGACAUUCAGUUCUUUUGAAAGCAACUUUUCGAAGUAAUUAUUACCUUUUCGAUUCAAAUGAAUAAGUAAUUAUUACCUUUUUGAUGCAGAUGAAAUCUCAACUUCACUGAGAAUAUUCGUCCAUCUUCGUACCUUCUCCUCGUUUUCCCUGAGAUUUUCUUCAUUCUUAUCAAAGACAAUUGUGUAACUCUCUGUUUGAUCAUUAAUCUUUGAUUGUUUGACAUCAUAAGAAACUGGAAACACAGUGUCCGAUCUCUUCUCAUCCACGAAUCCGACAAUCUUGACAAGUUCGUCAAAGUCCCAAGGUAAAGAAGCACAAUCUCUAGAAAAUAUAAUAAUUGACAUCCCUAAUUCUUCAAUGGCCUCAGAGAGUCUUGAUCUAAUUGCCAUCACUUUUUCUGGUUCCUUCCCACUUGGGACAAUGAAUCUCCGGGCUCGAUCUGCGACUCUGAUGUUAGGGAAAACAUUGGCCUUCCAUUGAUGGUAAGACGAAGAAAAAGCUAAAGAAUCUUUAUAUAAAGAAGCUGCUUCUUUGCUUGUGACAAUAAAAUGGGCAGAUGUUUGUGGUUUAAUAAAUAGAGAAGAUAACAAACAAACACCACAAUUGUUCACCUUCACUCCUUGCUCGUAAGAAUGAAACGACAACUCAAUAUUGCUAAAGGAUUCAUGCUGCCAUUCUUGAAGCUCUUUAAGGUAAUCGAAAGAUAGAUAGAAUAGCCAAAUAUGAUCUGAAAAGAGAUGGCCUUUACAAUUAAUACACAUCGGAGAAGGAUAAUUCUCUCUUCCAUUGGCUUUGAAAUGACAAAAAAGAGAAGGACUUUCAUCAUUUGCACUGAAUGCAACACACGCAACAAACCCCAUGCUCCAACUUGGCACUUGCACACUAAUUGAAGAUCGCUUAGUUUGAUAGUUAAACCAGCCUGGAAUUUCAUUUCCUGGAAUGGUGAUACCAAAUCCAGGUCUUGGAUUAGACAAACCCUAUACCAAGAAAAACCAAAAUGUUAGAUAGAUAGAGGGAGAGGGAGAGAGAUACAAAAAGCUUUGGGUAUGAUUAAGAGAACACCUUGAGGUAUCUUUCAAGCAUCAUCAACCCCAUUCUAUCUUGGCCAUUAUGAUUGUACAAUUCCCAGCAGUUAAGACAUAUGAGCUCUGAUCUUUUGGAACUGCUUAACUCUAUCGGAUCUGGAAUUGUUUUUAGGCUUAUACAACCAUUCAAAUUUACUGUUUGAACUUUAGAUGGAACCUCAGGCAAAGAUGCAAGCAUCAUGCAAUCCUCCAAGACAAGCAUUUCCAGUCUAGAAAGCUGAUUUAUGGCUUUAGGCAGGCUAACAAAGUUAUUCUGGCUUAGAUCUAAAGACCUUAAUGAAGAUAAGCAGCCAAUAUCUUCAGGAAGUGCCCCUUCUCUUAGAUUGCAAGCAUAAACCAGUACUUCUAUAAACACAACCAGUCAAAGAAGGCAACCUUUGAUCCGUGGGAUUCAUAGCUAUUCUUUUGCAUCCAUCAAAAGAUAAUACUUUAAGAUUCUUUAAAAGAAAAAUGGAUGCUGGCGGUUGUCUUAUUGAAGUUCCACUUACAUCAAACUCCUCCAAACUUUCAACUUUCCCCAAAUUCUCUGGUAUAUUUUCAAGUUUAGAGCAGCCAGACAUAUCAAGUUUUUUAAGGGAUUUCAAGCAACCUAUGCUACUUGGAAUGCUUUCAAGGUUCUUGCAGUUGUUCAUGCUCAAUACUUCUAAGCCAAUCAAAUGAGAAUUGAUGAAGAUAGUUCAGCAAUACCAGUCCCGUCCAAACGAAGCACCAUCAAACAGUUCAUGUUUCCCACUAUAUCUGGAAACCUUUCAAGUUUUGAGCAGCCAUCAAGAGUGAAAACUUUAAGUGAUUCCAUUUCAAGGUUGUUGGGAGAAUCCUAAUACUUUGCAAUCACAAGAUUCACAUAUUGAAGCUUCUUGUGACGUGCAAGUGAUGGAUGGACCUCAGACAAACUUGUACAACCUUCAAGAAUUAGGUUCUCGAGAUUCGGAAUUCCAGUAAAAUCUGGAGUCUUGAUCAGGUUUAGUGAGUUGCUGAGAUUGAUGAUUUUCAAAUUAACUGCACUCUGCAAUCAGGCAGGGGAGAAGAAAUAUGGAUGCUACUAUCAUAAAUAUAUAGGAAAACGAUAAAAAGAAAUACAAAGGCCUUAAAUUAGGUGAUCUCACCUUACACCCAUACCAUAAUUGCUCAAUACUACUGUUAGCCAUGUGAAGUUCAACUAGCUCAUCCACCUGUAAACCAGCUGGCAAUGAUUUUGAAGGGUAAGAAUGCCAUUCAAGAAAUCGUAGCUUAUUGGAAAGAUCUUCAGGUCCUUCAGAAAGCUGCACGUUGUUGAUUUUGAGCAAUCUUAGUUUGCUCAUUUUAGAGAAGGCUUUCAUGUUCCAUUGUGCCUCUUUUAUUCCAGGCAUGUCCAGGAAAAUGGCUUCUAUUUUUUCUUUUCCCUGUCAACCAAAAGGGGAAUACAAGUAAAAAAACAAAUACAAAGUAGAGAUGGAGCGUAAAUUAAAAUAAACUUCAUGAAAUCUUAUGGAUAAUGUUCUCUAUCAGCUACUCACUGUGUUGUCCAUCAGUGCAAGGCAGACAUCCUCGUAUGUCCACAAUCUACUGCGCCUUCCAGGCUCUUCAGGGGAUUCACAACGAACAAUUUCCUUACCCAUUAUCUGUAAUAAAUUAUGCAUCCAGACUUGAUCCCGAGAGACACUUAUAAGAGAUUUCUCAAUAAGAACUGGUAUUCCAAUACCUGCAUGGAAUCCACGGCUUUCAAGUAUCCUUGUUAUUCGAUCAAUUUUAAACCCCUUCAGGAAACAUGCAAUGUCUAAAAAUAUUUUCUUAUCUAAUUCAUGGAGACCAUCAAAACUAAUGCGAAGCACAUCAAUAAUUUUGCCGUGAGGAAUCUCAUUCAUUCUAUUAAUCGCACUUUUCCAUUGAUCGACACAUCUUCCAUUCAAAAAUGAACCUAUAACUUCAAGAGCUAGUGGAAGGCCAUUAGCAUAACCCACAACUUGCUUGGAUAGAUCCAAGAAAUCUUCAGCAGGUUGGUCUUUUUUGAAAGCUUUCUGGCUAAACAACAUGAGAGCAUCAUCAUCAUUCAAUUUUUCAGCCUCAUAAAUUUUAGUAUCAUCAUUUCCAGUUAACACAUUUGUAUCUCUGCUUGUUAUGAUAAUUCUGCUCCCUGGACCAAACCAUCCAGGCUCCUCAGCCAAGAAUUCUAGUUGUUCUUUGUCAUCUACAUCAUCAAGGAUAAGAAGAAUCUUUUUAAGUCGUAACCUCCGCUUUAUCAUCUCAAUCCCUCUAGAAGAAUCACAUAGAAGCACGUUCCAUUAAGAUUUCAGAAAGAAGUUGUUCCUGCAAACGACGUUGUCCAUCUUCCCUAGCAAAAACUUCUCUGACACUUGCUAAGAAGCAGCUGCCUUCAAAUUGCCAACGAAUCCUAUCAUAUACUACCCUUGCAACAGUCGUCUUACCUAUGCCACCCAUUCCACAAAUCCCUAUGAAGAUUGUUUUGCCUACUUCUUCACCUAUAUAGCCAUUUAAUACCUCUACACGAUAAUCUAUUCCAACUAAUUUUUUGCUAAUUGUUGGCAGAGUGAUGCUUAGUUUGUACGAUAUGUAUUCAACAAUUAUUUUAAUUGAUUCCGAUUCAUUCCUGCAUAGAGGGUGCAAAACAUUAAUCAUGCAGUGUGCAGAAAUCAAAUCAGAUAGUGAUAAUGGGAAGAUAAACAUUAGCAUAUUGUAGCUCGAAAAUGUAUGGUUGUUAGCCGAAAAUUAAUACACCAACCUUUGAGAAAGAUAGGGCCCUGAUAAUAGAUAGCUUCAAGAACAUAGAGGAAAAGGAAAGAAUAAACUGAAAAAGGAACUAUGAUUGUAUUGAUGCUAAGAAUGAUUCGUACAAUAGUUAUCUUAUUGCCUAUAGAAUCACACAGUUACUAUAGAAGCAUGCAUACAAGAACAAAAGGUAGGAAAUAAAAUAUCCAUUAAGUUUGGUUUUAACAUACCAAAAGGCAAAAGGAGUUCUAUCAUAUUUUUUGUCGACCACUAAGUUGUUUUUAUAAUUAUUUUUAACAAAAAAUUAAAUUAUUUAGCAUAAUUAACUUUUAAAAAAACAACUUUAAUUUUUUUAAUUUUUGAGUUUUUUUCUAUAUUAGCAUAGCCCAAAGAACAUUUCCCAAACUAACAUAUGCUUCUCACAACUCAAAUUUUCACAACGCAUUUCUUCGUCUUUCUUCUCUAUUUAAUCUUUUAUUUGGUCUUUCAAUUUUUAUACAAUCUUAAUAUUAAUUUCAAUAUAAUGAUCAUUUCAUUAAUAUAAACUUAUUUUUAUUUAAGUUGGGAAAAAACAUAACAAUAUUUUAGGCAAAAAUUAACUCGUUUUUAGCAAUUGCAUUUGAAAUAAAUAUUAACUUUAAUUCAUAUAUUUUUUGUGUGCAAAAGAAUAGAUGAAAUGAUCGUAAUAAUGGAACUAAAGUUAACUAAAUAUAAAAAUUGAGGGACCAACCCAACAAAGAAAGAAAGCAAGAUUUUUUUGACAUGCGAGACCUGCAUGUGUCAAGUUGUGUUAGUGAUGCCUAUGCUAGUUUGAAAAGUUUUUUCCCACCUAUAGUAUUUUGAGAAAUAAUUUUUUUCAUGGGAAAAAAUUCAUGUAGCUUUUAUGUCAUACCUUAAAAACGGAACCAUAGAAGAUACUAAUGAUAAGUUGCCACUUGUUGAAAACUUCACUUUAAUGUGUAGUUCUUUAACUAGAUUUUUGGCCUCAAGUGUUCGAUUAUUUUUUUCUAACCCUUAAAAAAUAUAAUAAUAUUUGAAAGUAAAAAAUUCAAUACAAGCUAGAAAAACACUUUUAAAAUAUUAAGAUAAUAAUAUAUUAGACGAUAUAUUUAUUUAAAAAUAUAAUUGUGACGACAACACACUAGAUCGACUUAGAGUAACUAUGAUUAACUUGUGAAACUCGCGAUCCGAAGCACAUUUUGGUGAAAACUCCAUGGAACCCAUAUCAAAAUAAAAUAAGCCCAAUUUCAAUCAGCCAAAUAUGAAAAGCUAAACAUAAAAAAAAAUUAUUCAAUUAAAAAAAGGAUUUUUUAAAAAAUAAGAGCUAGAUUUAACAAAGAAUGAGAAAUAAAAAGACUUAAGAUAACCUCGGUUAUUUUUAAAAUUAUUUAAAAAUCUUAUACAAAACAAAUAAAAAAAUUUAAUAGAGCCUAGUCUCUAAUUAAAUUAAAUAUUGAAUAAUAAAACUGAAAAACAAACAUGAGCUUCAAAAAAAGAAACCUAGACAAAUCUCCUAAACCUAGGUUAGUACUGUCCCAAAUUCUCAAUCCGUUAAAUCCUAAAUCCAGACUCAACCAAAAAGCUUAAUUCAAUGUUAAAGUAUGAAAUCAGAAAUAAUCUAUAUAUAUAUAUAUAUAUAUAUAUAUAUAUAUACCAAUUUUAAAAAAAUUUGCCAAGGUAAAAAAACAUAACAAUAAAAAAUGAAGGAUGAAAUCACCAAUAAAAUAAAAUAAAAAUAAUCUCACAUAAAAUAAAUAGUAAUCAAAAGAAUGAGAAUCAACUCUAAUAGAUUAAAAAAUUAAAAAGUAUAAAAUUAAUAGCAAAUUUCAAUUCUAAAAAAUAAUUCAAAUAAAAAAAUAUCAACUCAAAAAAAAUAGAACAAAUAUGGGAAAAACAAAACCAAAUUGAAGGGUUACUAUAAAAGUUUAGAAGGUCGGGUGCAUAAUUUGAGGAUAAAGACAAAAGAAAAGAAAGUCAUGUGGUGCCAAACCAAAAAAAAUUACUCCACACAUGCCACUCAGGGAGGCAGGUCACAUCAUGGUGAAUCAAAAAACAUCAAUGAAGGCCUUUUUUGGGUGUCAUAAGACAUUGCUCAUGCUACUUAAAUAAGACAAAACAACUUACUAGCUUGUGUGUUCUACAAACAAGCCAACCACUUUUUUUUUAUCACAAAAAAGCAUGAAUAAGCCCUUGAAGACAAGGUAAGUAUUUUUAAUUUUAAAGGAAAUGAAGUUAUUUUAUUGCACCAUGAAAAGUGAAAAAUCUUAAAAGAGCCCCUAUAGCUAAUUUAUUUAUUCUUUCUUUUAAAGAUAACUAAGUAAUUAUACCAUAAAAAAAAUGCCUAACUACCCCUAUCAAUUCUAUAAUGACUAUUGGCCCUUAUAAAAAGACCUUAUUGUUCCUAAUAAGUAGUUUAUUUUGUUUAGAAUGAAAAAUUAGUAAAUUCAUUGUUACACUCCAUUAGUAAAAGAAAGACACCUAUCAAAUUUUAAUUUCAAAUAGAAAAAUAAAAAUAUUCACAAAAAAAUUAAAAAUAAAUUUAUCUCUUUGAUUUAUAAAUAGUUUGAAUUUUUUAAUUCAAGAUGGAAAAUCUUUUUAUUUUAUUUUGAAAAGCUAAAACCAACAUAUUCAAAAAUUUUGGUCAAUUUUUUAUUUCUUAUGAUGAAUUUGUUGUCAUUUCUUCACAAUUUUUACUUUUUUAAGCUAACUUUUUAUUUGUUCAUGCUAGAUUUGUUUUUCAACAUUUUUAUACAUUUUAAUUUUUUUGCUUAAUAUUUAUUUUAUUUUCAAAAUAUAAAGAAAAACCUAAGAAUAGAAAGAAGUUAUAUAUAGAGAUUAGAAAUGCUUGAUCACAUCAGUUCAAAAUAUCAUUAAAAAAAAAAACAUGCAUAUGAAAAAAAUACACAUUUACUAUCAUGCUUGUUCAUCAAUGAAACAAUACAGGGCAGAUUUGAGAAUAAGAAUAAGUAGAUAGACGAUUUACCUAUUCCGGACGUCCCAGCCAGAUAGAUUGGCCACCGUAGAGAGACAAUCUUUCCAUUUCCGGACCUUCUCCAAGUUUUCCUUGAAAUUUUGUUCAUGCUCACCGAAGGCUUCCUCGUAUUUCCGUUUCCGCUCGGUUACCUCUGAGGGAUCCACAUCAUAAAAAACUGGCAGAACAGUUUGCCCCAUCUCUUUCAUGCACUGAACAAUCUUGACAAGUUCAUCCAAGCACCAUGGUGACGAUGCGUAAUCUCUUGAAAAUAUAAUGACAGAAAACCUUGAUUCUUCGAUGGCCUUCCAGAGAGCAGGUUCGAUGGUCUUUCCUCUCUCGAGCUCCCUAUCAUCCAUGUAUACAUCGAUGCCUCUCUGUUUCAGAUUAGAAUAUAGAUGACUAAUAAAGUUGUCCCGGGUGUCUUUGCCUCUAAAACUAAGGAACACAUCAUAAAUAUAUAGUGGAGGAGGAGGAGAUGAAGAUGAGGUUAUUCCUUUGACGCUGGUGGAAGCCAUGAAAAUUCCUAUAGCGAUAAACUAGUAAGGCCUGCUCCUGUGGUCAAACAUGAAACAGAAGGUGAGAUCAAGAAAUUUGGCAAUUAAAUCUACCAAAUAGCAAUUUCAAGCUGGAACAUGUAUAAUUCUACUUAGAAAUCAGAAAACACCAAAUUUCUACGAGUAUUUCACGAAUCUAGACCAAACAAACCGUGUGGUAAGUGUUGGCUAAAGAGGCACAAGAUCCAGCCAAGCCCAAUAUUUUUUCUUCUUCUGGUAUCUUAGUAACCAACUUCCAAAGCCCUUUUCUUUCUUUUUAUUUCAAUGACUUCGAAUUUAUUUCCGGUUUCUUGAGGUCAAGAACUCGUACCGGUAAGUUUCCAAUGAUUUUCUUACGGAUCUUUUUCUUACACUGUAAAAAACAGAAAGAGAAAUGAAAGGGAUAUCGAACGCGCAUUGGGCAGCAGAGUGGACCCAUCACAAUUGAGUGAUUCAUAUUUUUUAAUGAAUUAUCAAGUCCAUAUUAUUUAACAUAAAUAUUUUUGCAUUCCAAGAACUUUCCAGAUGUGGGCAGCAAAGGCACCUUCCUGUCAAGAGCAGGGGUUGAGACACACACAUCACAGUUGAAAAGUAUUUUUUAAUGAAUUUUCAAACUAAUAACUACAAAACUCUUACAUUAAAUAUUAUAAAUUCCCAUUGAUUUUUUUUUAAAAUAAACUUAGCCACCACCCGAUGAACUGGAACUAAUUAACGAAAAAACAAAUCAUAUUAAAUUGAGUUUAGAAUCUCCACUUUUUUUUUUCCCUAAACUUUUUUAAAAAAGUUUUAUCGGCUUUUAAUCUCACAAUUCAAUCCAAAUUUAUGAUGUGUUAUUUUUUUCAAUUUAAUCCUUAUUAUUUUUUUAUUUUUGUUUUUGUUCAAGUUAUUUUUCUUUUCAGUUAACUCUUCAAUUGAAAAAAUUUAGUUAUACUCUAAUUUAUUUUUUAUUUUAUUUUUGAUUCUUGUUUUUUUAAUUAUUAUUUUUUUAAUUUUUAAAAUACUAGUGCUCGUAUAACAAAACUGAAUCCAACCUCUUGGAUAAUGUAGCCACCAUAGCUUGAACGUCCAAUAAUGAAAAUUCUUAACGCCGCUAUCCAUUAAUGAAUCCCAGCCACUCAUCUCCCGACACUUUCUACCCAUAAUUAAGAUAGCAUAGACGAAGACUCCAAGAGAUAAUCCAAUAUUUCUUCUACCGUACGUUCCUCAACUUUAAUGUCCGAGGCUGAACGUGUCCACAAAAACUCACAAGGAGGAAGAGAACCAACCAUCAGCGGCGUCACCCUCUUCGCGACCUUUAUUUCCGUUGGCUCUAGAAUAAUUUUUUGAUUUUUGUCUUUCUGCACAACCUUUUUUUUACUGCAAGAUUACAUAAAAAAUAUACAUUCAUGGCAUAAUUAUAUAACCAUUAAUUAUUUUUUUAAUUAAUUUUUUUUAUGACUCUCAUAACUUUUUUUCUUCAAAAAAUAAACAUUCGGAUAAAUAAAUAAAUAAAUUUAAAAAAAUCACAAUAAUAGGAUAAAGAGGAUUUAAUUGAGAAUAUGUUUUUUUAUGGUUAUUUCAAAUCUUUGGGGUCUAUUGGAUAUUUAGUAUGCUUUUAAUAUUGUGGUACAAAGUUCUUUUUAAAACUGAUUUUUUUUUUAAUGUAUAAAAAUAUAUUUUUAGAUUUUUUAUACAAGCACAUCAAAAAAUACUAAAAAAACAUUAAUUUGAUAUUUUAAUAAAACAAACAUAUUUUUAAAACAUAUUCAAACAUAAAGUAGAAACACAAUAUCAAACACAAACAUAUUUUUGGUUGACAAUUAAAAAGAAAAAGGAUACUAGGAAAUUAUUUUAUGUUGAUAGAACUUAAAUUGUUAAUUUUUUUGGCUACAAGAAAUCAUAUAUUUUGAACCGUAUAUAUCACCUAGUUUCUAGAUUUAUUGUUUGAUUUGCAUUUUAACAUUUUUUUAUUGUAUAUAAUUCUGAUUGCUUUGAUUAAAAACAUGCAUCAAUUCUUUUUAUUCAUAAAAAAAAAAAUUUCUUCAACUUAAAAAAAGUUGACAGUGCUCACACUUUUUCUUUUUCUUUUUCCAUUGAAAAGUAACUUUUAAUCCGAUCCGCAACAAGAACUAGACAAGGACACGUUAUUUAUUGGAAGAACACGUGGUGCUAUGUUUUCUCGAGAAUGCUUCGAUAGUCAGAAAAUCAAGGGCCACCACCCAUGUGCAUCCUAACACCUUUUUUCUUCAGUAAAAACAAAUCCUCAAACUCGUCCUAAUAUCUUCUGGAGACCUACUUCUAACUUCAAAAUCUAUUACAAUCCAAUUUAAUCGGUCUGAAAUUGAAAUCAAUGUUCUGAAAAAAAAUAUAUGAUCUAGGCUUCGAUCUAUCUAUAGUAAAACAUCAUGGUCUUUUAUUUCUUUAUUAAUUCUAAUAAUAAUAAUAAUGUUUUUAUUAUUAAUUUUUAAUAUACUAGCUAGUGCUUGUAUAACAAAACUGAAUCCAACCUCUUGGAUAAUGUAGCUAGCCACCAUAGCUUGAACACUAAGUUCAAACCCAAUAUUUGUUUAUUCUUCUGAUAUUAACUGAAUCUAAUUAACGAAAAACAAAAAGAAAUUCAUAUUAAAUUGAGUUUAGAAUCUCAAAUUUUAAUAUUUUUUUAACAAACAGUCCAACUUAGAUUUUCUCCGAUAAAAAAAAACACCAGUUCUUCUCGCAUUGCUAGCAUACCAUCUUAAACCUAUGAUUAAGGGAGAUUAAAAAUGUGGUAGUACUUAAUUUUUUUAAAUAAUUUAUUUAAAAAUAUAUUAAAAUAUUUUUUAUUAUUUUUUAAAAAUUAUUUUUAGUAUAUACGUAUCAAAACAAUUCAACAACAUAAAAAAAAAAAUUCAAACGGGUCAUGAACUGCUUUCCCAGCCAAAUUUUUUGGAUAUUGAUUAUAAUCUUUUGCUUUUAAAUAUUAUGCUGUGUGAAAAUAAAUCUCUUUAAGCACACUGCUACACAAAUCAUUCGGUUUAGAGCAUCUUCAAAGAAAAAUGCUAUAUUAGAAGAGCAAAAUAGAUAAAAUAUCUUUUUAAAUAGUGUAAAUAUAGUUUUUUUGAUUAUAUGUAUUCCAAUGAUAAAAAACUAUUUAGAAAAGCCAAUUAUAUUUUAAUAUAUUUCAUGUUAAAUUAAUUUUAAUAUAAUUAUAUAACUAAUUUAGAUAUUUUAUAUAUAAUAUAAUUAUGAUGUUAUUAAUUAUAUAAUUAAUAUGAGUAAUUUAUAAAAGUAAUAUAAAAUUAACGAGUAGAAUCAUUAGAUUUGAACUUCUUAUGUCAUUAUAAGUUUCAAGUUUUUUAUGUUUUUUUUUUUCAUUAUGGUUGUUAUCUUUUAAGUUAAUUAAUCCUACUUAUUGUUGUUAAGUGUUAGAAGAACCUCAAAAAAAUAUUAUGAAUUGAUAUCACUUUUAUAACAAUAUAUUUAAAAUAACCAAGAAAUUUUAACAUAUAUAAUUAAAAAUACAUUACAUUAAACAAUAAAUCAAUCUAGCUAAUUAAAAAUUAAAACUCCUCUUUUGCAUAAUUUCUAACUUUUUAUUUUGAAAAUAUGCUGCAGAAAUUGGAUCCAAAUUAGAAAUAUCCAUUUUCAUAAUUUGUUCUUCUUUCUCAAUCCUGUCCAAUUCUUGUUUCUCUUGACUUUGUUGAAUCAUUAUAGCUUGUUGCUCUAACAUAAUUUUUCUGUCUUGUUUCUUUUGAUCCUCAAUUUCAACUAGAGUAUUCUUGAAUUGUUGUAAGAGAUUUGUUACAGUUACCUCCCCAACUUUAUCUUUUCCUUGUUUACGUUUAAGUCGUUCCUUUGCAGCCUUCUGACCAAUUAGUCUAUCUUAAUAAAUCAACGGUUCACUGUCUUCUCCUAAACUAACAGAAUCAGGAGUAGAUGAAGCUGAUGAAGCCGGAUUUGCAUUGACAUGACUUUUUUGUUUCUUGUUUGACCUUUGAUGUUGACUUGCAUACUCAAAUUGCCAUUUGAGUUUUUUUCUUAAGAUAACCCAACAAUGUUCUAGUUGAAAUUGUUUGCCAAUGCAAGAAGCAUACAUUUGUCGAGCAUCAUUAAUCUGGUAAAAAAUUAGAGAAAUUAAAUAAUGUUAAAAUAUAUGUUAAACAAUUUAAUAUUAAAAUGAAUAUUAAAAAUUACCCUUGAUUCUUUGGUCAUUCCACUUUGCUAACGAUUUUCAAUUUAAGUAACAAAUCCAACAAAUUUACCGUCUUCCCUAUUUAUUUCUUGCCAUCUACUUGAGAUGCUUAUUUGGGAAUGAUUAUUCAAGUUUCCUCCAUUCUCUACAACGUAAGCAUGUACUCGAGCCCAUAACUGUUUUGUUUGUUGUUCAACUCCUGUAAUUGGAUCCUUGCUUGUAUUUAGCCAUGCAGAGACAAGUAAACAAUCUUUCUAUGGUGAUAAGUUUUUACUUCUUUGUGAUUUUUUUGCCGAAUGUACAUUUAAAUUCGAGUAUGUUAAGUCAUCAAUUAAUUGAUUAGAAUCACUUGGUUGAGAGAGAAUAUCUUCUGACUCACUCAUAAGAAAGUUGGUAAAAGAGCUUGGAAAAUUUGAAUCCAUCUACAUUAAAAAAAAAAAAAAAAAAAACUCAAGUUAAAACAGACAAUAAAAAAUAAAUUUUAAAUAUGUCACUCUAUAUUUUUAUCAAUAUCAACUACCAUUAUUAUUCUCUCAAUUUUGUUAAAGAUAACAACAUAAAUAAAAAUUGUCUUCAUUAACCCAUAUAAAAAACAUAAAAUAACAAAGAAAUAAAAAUCAACACAAAUAUCAAAUUAACAACAAAAAAUCUAAAAAAUCAACACAAAUAUCAAAUUAACAGCUUGAUAAGACCUGAAAAAAGCAAAGGGAUAAUUUGAUAUUUAGGAUAAUCUAAUUAAAGGAUGUUUACUUUCAAAAAUAAAAAUGAGAUGAAACAAUUACUAUAGAAUAAUAAAUAAUGACAGGAAUAUAAAAAUAAUGACUAGUCCCUGACUUGAUGUAGUUCAAUCGGUUUUAGAAUUUUAAAAUUGAUAUUGAAUCGAACCAAAUUUUUGUAUCAGAAGCUAAGCUGGUAAAAUCUACACAUGUGAUAGCAUGUGAAGGUAUACAAAAUUAUCAAUAUGAGAUUUUGUUCAAAGAACAUCACAUGUUAGUACCAAAAGAUGAUUUAGCUCAAACAAUAAAAUAUGCAUCAAUAACCAUGCAAUGCAUCUAAUAUGUACAGACCUCAAAAACUGGUUGUAGCUGCUUCCUAGGUGCCCUCUUAACUGCUUCACGUUGCUGUUUAGCACCAUGUAUCCGCAUGACAUAGGAUGGUAAGAACAUGUCAUAACUCCAAAGGGCAUUGAGGUUAUGCUCGACACGAGUAAGACAGAGGUAAAUAUCACAAGCUAUGACACAAUUAUCUAAGAAGAGCUUAGAACACACCAAAAAGCUAUAUAAAUGUCAGGUCCUGAUUUGUUACUAGAAGCAAUAGUGGUGUUAAGAGUUGCAACAACUACAUGGGAACCAGAAUCCAACCACAAACUCAUUAAAUUCCAGAUUAAAGUAGAGCAUGUAUGAAGAAUUUGUAUCUUCCAAAUUUGUAUACGAGGAUCUAAAAUUAAUUUUAGUGGGGACUAUGCUAAUGUGCCUCCUGCAACUUGCAUGAUGAUUGAGUGAAAGAGCCAAGACCAACUAUAAACUUGCUAGUAAACAAAGUGCUCUUUCCCCAACGCCAAUUCAUGAAAUGGUUUUCGUCUGAUGCUCAAUCUGAUCAAAUUAAGAUAUUCAGAGUGCAAUCACUGGUUUAUAUCUUUUGUUUUUGUAGAUAGAAAGUGUGUCCAGGAAUCUCAGUCCUAAUGGGCAAUUUACAACCAAAGCGCUAGGGAGCUUAUCAGAUUUAAAGGCAAUAGGUUGAAUGGUAGAAGCUGCCAUAGAGGCCUCUUCAUAUUCCAAAGCAUGUGUAGUUUUUCCAAUGAGGAUUGUGAUCACCAAUUCAUGAAAAAAUUAACCAAAGUCCAUGAAAAACAUAUCCUAACUAACUUGCCAAACAAUAAGGUUCAAAAAUCUCAGUUUGACUGCAGAGAUCCGUCUGCGCCAUUUCUCCCAUGUAAUCAUCUGUUGUCUCCUUGCACUUCUGGCAUAUUUGAAAGUUAAAAUAAAUACUAGCCUUAUAUGAAUCAUCACCUAAAGAAACUAAACUACUUCAAUCAAGUUCUCUAUGUACUAUCCUAAUCCUUAAUUAACUACGUGUCUGACUUCACAUGAAAACACCAACAUUGGCAUAUAAGGAAUCACCAUGUGCCUAGCCUGUUUGGAGAAACAAUAUUUUUAUUUCUUGUGCAAGAAAAAAGAAUGAAAGACAAACAUCUGCAACUUAAGAG